RNAcentral lists this ribosomal RNA (442 nucleotides) under uncultured bacterium. RNAcentral describes it as "partial 16S ribosomal RNA". It matches the Rfam family "Bacterial small subunit ribosomal RNA", at positions 338 to 795 of the family's 1533-position model. The record is from RNAcentral.
CCUACGGGUGGCAGCAGUGGGGAAUAUUGGGCAAUGGGCGCAAGCCUGACCCAGCAACGCCGCGUGAAGGAAGAAUGCCCUCGGGUUGUUAACUUCUUUUAUUCGGGGCGAAACAAAUGACGGUACCGAAUGAAUAAGCCACGGCUAACUACGUGCCAGCAGCCGCGGUAAUACGUAGGUGGCAAGCGUUAUCCGGAUUUACGGGGUGUAAAGGGCGGGUAGGCGGGAGAGCAAGUCAGACGGGAAAUUCCAGGGUUCAACCUUGGAACUGAGUUUGAAACUGUUCUUCUUGAGGGAUGGAGAGGCAGGCGGAAUUGCGGGUGUAGCGGUGAAAUGUGUAGAUAUACGGAGGAACACGAGUGGCGAAGGCGGCCUGCUGGACAUUAACUGACGCUGAGGCGCGAAAGCGUGGGAGCAAACAGGAUUAGAUACCCCUGUAGUC